RNAcentral lists this non-coding RNA (226 nucleotides) under Acetobacterium wieringae. Lineage: Bacteria; Bacillati; Bacillota; Clostridia; Eubacteriales; Eubacteriaceae. The record is from RNAcentral.
GCAAAAGCGUUGAGAAAAGAAUAACUCAGUGGGUCAAUGGUUUAAAGCGAACAGAUGCUGGUGGAAGAUCUGUAAUCAAACUCUAUGAAUGGCACUUUUUGAGCUGCGAUACCAUUAUAUCCUUGGGUGAUUGACUGGUGUUGCCGUGAAAUUCGUUAAAUUUUUAAGGUGGUUUGUCAAUGUCGGCAGACAACUUGGGUGGAACCGCGGUUAUACCGUCCCUUGU